UACGUAGGGGGCAAGCGUUAUCCGGAUUUACUGGGUGUAAAGGGAGCGUAGACGGAGCAGCAAGUCUGAUGUGAAAGGCGGGGGCUCAACCCCUGGACUGCAUUGGAAACUGCUGAUCUUGAGUACCGGAGAGGUAAGCGGAAUUCCUAGUGUAGCGGUGAAAUGCGUAGAUAUUAGGAGGAACACCAGUGGCGAAGGCGGCUUACUGGACGGUAACUGACGUUGAGGCUCGAAAGCGUGGGGAGCAAACAGG
Molecule: ribosomal RNA, 253 nt
Filed under: Blautia caecimuris
Lineage: Bacteria; Bacillati; Bacillota; Clostridia; Lachnospirales; Lachnospiraceae
Description: partial 16S ribosomal RNA
Rfam family: Bacterial small subunit ribosomal RNA
Source: RNAcentral